GCGUUGUCCGGAAUUACUGGGCGUAAAGCGUGCGCAGGCGGAUUGUUAAGCAAGAUGCGAAAUCCCCGGGCUUAACCUGGGAAUGGCAUUUUGAACUGGCAAUCUAGAGUGUGUCAGAGGGGGGUAGAAUUCCACGUGUAGCAGUGAAAUGCGUAGAGAUGUGGAGGAAUACCGAUGGCGAAGGCAGCCCCCUGGGAUAACACUGACGCUCAUGUACGAAAGCGUG
RNAcentral lists this ribosomal RNA (226 nucleotides) under uncultured bacterium. RNAcentral's name for it is "partial 16S ribosomal RNA". It matches the Rfam family "Bacterial small subunit ribosomal RNA", at positions 538 to 763 of the family's 1533-position model. The record is from RNAcentral.